CUGUACCGGGGACAGAUUAACAGGAUUAGAUACCCUGGUAGUCCACGCCCUAAACGAUGUCAACUAGGUGUUGGGAGGGUAAAACCUUUUAGUACCGGAGCUAACGCGUGAAGUUGACCGCCUGGGGAGUACGGCCGCAAGGUUAAAACUCAAAGGAAUUGACGGGGACCCGCACAAGCGGUGGAUGAUGUGGAUUAAUUCGAUGCAACGCGAAAAACCUUACCUACCCUUGACAUGUCCAGGAGCCCUGAGAGAUUGGGGUGUGCCCGAAAGGGAACUGGAACACAGGUGCUGCAUGGCUGUCGUCAGCUCGUGUCGUGAGAUGUUGGGUUAAGUCCCGCAACGAGCGCAACCCUUGUCGUUAAUUGCCAUCAUUGAGUUGGGCACUUUAGCGAGACUGCCGGUGACAAACCGGAGGAAGGUGGGGAUGACGUCAAGUCCUCAUGGCCCUUAUGGGUAGGGCUUCACACGUCAUACAAUGGUCGGUACAGAGGGUUGCCAACCCGCGAGGGGGAGCCAAUCCCAGAAAGCCGAUCGUAGUCCGGAUUGCAGGCUGCAACUCGCCUGCAUGAAGUCGGAAUCGCUAGUAAUCGCGGAUCAGCAUGUCGCGGUGAAUACGUUCCCGGGUCUUGUACACACCGCCCGUCACACCAUGGGAGCGGGUUCCGCCAGAAGUAGGUAGCCUAACCGCAAGGAGGGCGCUUACCACGGCGGGGUUCGUGACUGGGGUGAAGUCGUAACAAGGUAACCAAUCUU
This 756-nucleotide ribosomal RNA is filed under the name uncultured bacterium. RNAcentral's name for it is "bacterial SSU rRNA". It matches the Rfam family "Bacterial small subunit ribosomal RNA", at positions 754 to 1507 of the family's 1533-position model. The record is from RNAcentral.